UAAGGGAUAUUGCACAAUGGGCGCAAGCCUGAUGCAGCAACGCCGCGUGCCCGAUGAAGGCCUUCGGGUCGUAAAGGGCUUUUCUGGCUGAAGAGAAGGGACAGUAAGCCAGGAAUAAGUGUCGGCUAACUACGUGCCAGCAGCCGCGGUAAAACGUAGGACGCAAGCGUUAUCCGGAGUUACUGGGCGUAAAGCGUGGGCAGGCGGUGGCCAAAGUCGGACGUGAAAGCUCCCGGCUCAACCGGGAGAGGCCGUUCGAAACUGGGUCACUGGAGGGCAGUAGAGGUGCGUGGAAUUCCGGGUGGAGUGGUGAAAUGCGUAGAGAUCCGGAGGAACACCAGAGGCGAAGGCGGCGCACUGGGCUGUACCUGACGCUGAUCCACGAAAGCCAGGGGAGCGAACGGGAUUAGAAACCCCGGUAGUCCUGGCCGUAAACGAUGUCAACUGGGUGUCGGGUCCGCGAAGGGUUCGGCGCCGAAGCUAACGCGCUAAGUUGACCGCCUGGGGAGUACGGCCGCAACGG
This 523-nucleotide ribosomal RNA is filed under the name uncultured bacterium. RNAcentral's name for it is "bacterial SSU rRNA". It matches the Rfam family "Bacterial small subunit ribosomal RNA", at positions 355 to 893 of the family's 1533-position model. The record is from RNAcentral.